RNAcentral lists this transfer RNA (74 nucleotides) under Mucilaginibacter polytrichastri. RNAcentral describes it as "tRNA-Ile". It matches the Rfam family "tRNA". Rfam says of the family: Transfer RNA (tRNA) molecules are approximately 80 nucleotides in length. Their secondary structure includes four short double-helical elements and three loops (D, anti-codon, and T loops). Further hydrogen bonds mediate the characteristic L-shaped molecular structure. tRNAs have two regions of fundamental functional importance: the anti-codon, which is responsible for specific mRNA codon recognition, and the 3' end, to which the tRNAs corresponding amino acid is attached (by aminoacyl-tRNA synthetases). tRNAs cope with the degeneracy of the genetic code in two manners: having more than one tRNA (with a specific anti-codon) for a particular amino acid; and 'wobble' base-pairing, i.e. permitting non-standard base-pairing at the 3rd anti-codon position. The record is from RNAcentral. Lineage: Bacteria; Pseudomonadati; Bacteroidota; Sphingobacteriia; Sphingobacteriales; Sphingobacteriaceae. RNAcentral also lists the same sequence under 1 other name.
GGGCCCAUAGCUCAGUUGGUUAGAGCAGCGGACUCAUAAUCCGUUGGUCGAAGGUUCAAGUCCUUCUGGGCCCA